AUGCUCCCCACGCCUCGCCUGUCCCGACGGCCCUCUCAUACUGCCUCUCCCGGGCAACACAACGAUGACGGCGGUGGCGACGGCGACGGCGUACAGCGGGAGCAGGCGGAGCAGCGCGACCCCUCUCCCUUGACCUCCCUCAGCAGCGUCGUGCCUUUUCAGCCACGACCUCUAACCGCUGGCGGCUGGCGGCGGAAGCGAGCGGCUGGCCAGAUGCCUCCUCCAGCCUUGCCGCGAUUAGUAUUACACAGAUGGGUGAUGCCCACAUACUUCACCCGGUGUAUCUGUUCAUGUAUGUUGUUAUUAGCUAAUUAG
Molecule: ribosomal RNA, 315 nt
Filed under: Triticum aestivum (bread wheat)
Lineage: Eukaryota; Viridiplantae; Streptophyta; Magnoliopsida; Poales; Poaceae
Description: partial small subunit ribosomal RNA
Source: RNAcentral